GUACUACUGAAGAGUCCCAAACUAGGACCAAACUGCUGUCCAGUAC
RNAcentral lists this non-coding RNA (46 nucleotides) under Trichobilharzia regenti. Lineage: Eukaryota; Metazoa; Platyhelminthes; Trematoda; Strigeidida; Schistosomatidae. The record is from RNAcentral.